AGAGUUUGAUCAUUGCUCAGGACGAACGCUGGCGGCGUGCCUAAUACAUGCAAGUAGAACGCUGAAGAGAGGAGCUUGCUCUUCUUGGAUGAGUUGCGAACGGGUGAGUAACGCGUAGGUAACCUGCCUUGUAGCGGGGGAUAACUAUUGGAAACGAUAGCUAAUACCGCAUAACAAUGGAUGACACAUGUCAUUUAUUUGAAAGGGGCAAUUGCUCCACUACAAGAUGGACCUGCGUUGUAUUAGCUAGUAGGUGAGGUAAUGGCUCACCUAGGCGACGAUACAUAGCCGACCUGAGAGGGUGAUCGGCCACACUGGGACUGAGACACGGCCCAGACUCCUACGGGAGGCAGCAGUAGGGAAUCUUCGGCAAUGGGGGCAACCCUGACCGAGCAACGCCGCGUGAGUGAAGAAGGUUUUCGGAUCGUAAAGCUCUGUUGUAAGUCAAGAACGGGUGUGAGAGUGGAAAGUUCACACUGUGACGGUAGCUUACCAGAAAGGGACGGCUAACUACGUGCCAGCAGCCGCGGUAAUACGUAGGUCCCGAGCGUUGUCCGGAUUUAUUGGGCGUAAAGCGAGCGCAGGCGGUUUGAUAAGUCUGAAGUUAAAGGCUGUGGCUCAACCAUAGUUCGCUUUGGAAACUGUCAAACUUGAGUGCAGAAGGGGAGAGUGGAACUCCAUGUGUAGCGGUGAAAUGCGUAGAUAUAUGGAGGAACACCGGUGGCGAAAGCGGCUCUCUGGUCUGUAACUGACGCUGAGGCUCGAAAGCGUGGGGAGCGAACAGGAUUAGAUACCCUGGUAGUCCACGCCGUAAACGAUGAGUGCUAGGUGUUGGAUCCUUUCCGGGAUUCAGUGCCGCAGCU
This 863-nucleotide ribosomal RNA is filed under the name uncultured bacterium. RNAcentral's name for it is "bacterial SSU rRNA". It matches the Rfam family "Bacterial small subunit ribosomal RNA", at positions 8 to 853 of the family's 1533-position model. The record is from RNAcentral.